Molecule: small RNA, 103 nt
Filed under: Homo sapiens (human)
Lineage: Eukaryota; Metazoa; Chordata; Mammalia; Primates; Hominidae
Description: exon X1
Source: RNAcentral
GGAGAGGGGUGGGUACUGGAGAAGACCAGCCCCUUCGCCAAACAGCCUUACAAAGACAUCCAGCUCUAAGGAGCUCAAAACAUCCUGAGGACAGUGCCUGGAG